RNAcentral lists this ribosomal RNA (801 nucleotides) under Triticum aestivum (bread wheat). Its description in RNAcentral is "partial small subunit ribosomal RNA". Lineage: Eukaryota; Viridiplantae; Streptophyta; Magnoliopsida; Poales; Poaceae. The record is from RNAcentral.
CGUUACCGGCAGGAGAUGUCCCGCCUCAUGGAGACCAUCCUCAGGACUCACGAGGAGAGGAGGCCGGCCAGAGCUGCCGACGGAGACGACGAGCGUGACAUGGUGGACGUGUUGCUGAGGAUCCAGAAGGAAGCCGACAUGCCAAUUUCCAUAACCCACGGCGUCAUAAGGGAAGUGCUCAAGGAUGUAUUCGGUGCGGGGCUCGACACCACAAUGAUUACCCUGCGAUGGGCGAUGGCUGAAUUAAUGGUGAACCCAAGGAUGAUGCAGAAGGCACAAUCAGAGAUACGCCACAUUCUUGCAGGAGAGGCCAGAGUACAUGAGGCUGCCCUAAAUGACCUACACUACCUCAAAGCAGUUAUCAAGGAGACCUUGCGGCUGCACCCUCCCGGACCGCUCGUACCCAGAAUGUGUUUGCAAGAUUGCAAGAUCCAGGGACACGUCGUGCCACAAGGCGCAAUUGUGUUCACCAACGUAUGGGCAAUAUCUAGGGACCCGAAGUACUGGUAUGAGCCGGAGAAAUUCAUGCCGGAGAGGUUUGAGGCUGAUGGUAUUGUGGACUUUAGAGGCACGAACUUCGAGUUCACUCCUUUUGGGGUCGGUCGGAGGAGCUGCCCAGGGAUAGGAUUCGCAAAUGCAAAUAUUGAGAUUGCUCUGGCUAGUCUUCUUUACCAUCAUGACUGGGAGCUGCCCGCCGGAGUUAACCCGGAGGAAGUAGACAUGACAGAGGUGUUUGGAGCCACAGUUACCAAGAAGGCUGACCUGUAUCUGCAUCCCGUUCCCGGUUUCCCCCUCUUUUAG